AUACGUAGGGGGCGAGCGUUGUCCGGAAUGAUUGGGCGUAAAGGGCGCGUAGGCGACCCGGUAAGUCUGGAGUGAAAGUCCUGUUUUUAAGAUGGGAAUUGCUUUGGAUACUGUCGGGCUUGAGUGCAGGAGAGGUAAGUGGAAUUACCAGUGUAGCGGUGAAAUGCGUAGAGAUUGGGAGGAACACCAGUGGCGAAGGCGACUUACUGGACUGUAACUGACGCUGAGGCGCGAAAGUGUGGGGAGCAAACAGGAUUAGAUACCCUGGUAGUCCACACUGUAAACGAUGAAUGCUAGGUGUAGGGGGUAUCGACCCCUUCUGUGCCGCAGUCAACACAAUAAGCAUUCCGCCUGGGGAGUACGGCCGCAAGGUUGAAACUCAAAUGAAUUGACGGGG
RNAcentral lists this ribosomal RNA (397 nucleotides) under uncultured bacterium. RNAcentral describes it as "partial 16S ribosomal RNA". It matches the Rfam family "Bacterial small subunit ribosomal RNA", at positions 523 to 918 of the family's 1533-position model. The record is from RNAcentral.